Long non-coding RNA from Mastomys coucha (southern multimammate mouse), 504 nucleotides. RefSeq lists it as uncharacterized. Lineage: Eukaryota; Metazoa; Chordata; Mammalia; Rodentia; Muridae. The transcript is spliced from 3 exons. The record is from RefSeq and is a predicted model, not a curated record.
GUUUACUAUAGACAUCCAAGGCCUGCAAAUCGGAACUCUUCCUCCGCCCUCAUCCAGGCUAGCCGGAUCACUCAUGCUGCCUGGGAUGCCUAAUUCCUUGGAAAGAAUGAUGGGAGAAGCAGCUGUCCCACAGCAUGAAAGAAUUCCUACACGAUGCUGCGUUUUGGUCCCACGUCUGAGCCUGUGGCUGGGCCACUAGCAAUUUGUGCGGAUCAGCCUCCCCAUCGCCUUGGCAGCACUUGAUGUUAUUUCAAAAAACAAACCACAGCGAGGCACCUGGCAUGCAAGAGGUACACGAUAUUCAUGUGAACAAGACACUCAAAUAUACACAAUUUAAAAAUAAUAAGAGAGAUCUUUGAACAGGCAAACAAAAAGAAAAAAUAAAGGAGAAACGAAGAAAAAAAAGUUAGAAGGUACCAAGUGGCUCUACCUCAGAUAGCAAGACCAGUAAAGAUGCCCAGUGGAGGGGACACCACCUGGAGGGACAGGCUGGCUGAAGAACAA